RNAcentral lists this transfer RNA (83 nucleotides) under Schistocephalus solidus. It matches the Rfam family "tRNA". Rfam says of the family: Transfer RNA (tRNA) molecules are approximately 80 nucleotides in length. Their secondary structure includes four short double-helical elements and three loops (D, anti-codon, and T loops). Further hydrogen bonds mediate the characteristic L-shaped molecular structure. tRNAs have two regions of fundamental functional importance: the anti-codon, which is responsible for specific mRNA codon recognition, and the 3' end, to which the tRNAs corresponding amino acid is attached (by aminoacyl-tRNA synthetases). tRNAs cope with the degeneracy of the genetic code in two manners: having more than one tRNA (with a specific anti-codon) for a particular amino acid; and 'wobble' base-pairing, i.e. permitting non-standard base-pairing at the 3rd anti-codon position. Lineage: Eukaryota; Metazoa; Platyhelminthes; Cestoda; Diphyllobothriidea; Diphyllobothriidae. The record is from Rfam by way of RNAcentral.
UGCCUCAUUGCUCAGUUGGUUAGAGCGUUGACUGUACUAAAGUCUUCCACUUGUUGGCGUGGGUUCUAAUCCCACCGAGGCGG